CCAGACUCCUACGGGAGGCAGCAGUGGGGAAUACUGCACAAUGGGGGAAACCCUGAUGCAGCGACGCCGCGUGAGUGAAGAAGCGCCUCGGCGCGUAAAGCUCUGUCAGCAGGAACGAUAAUGACGGUACCUGAAGAAGAAGCCCCGGCUAACUACGUGCCAGCAGCCGCGGUAAUACGUAGGGGGCAAGCGUUAUCCGGAUUUACUGGGUGUAAAGGGAGCGUAGACGGCGGGGCAAGUCUGGAGUGAAAGGCCGGGGCCCAACCCCGGGACUGCUCUUGGAACUGCGUGGCUGGAGUGCAGGAGGGGCAGGCGGAAUUCCUGGUGUAGCGGUGAAAUGCGUAGAUAUCAGGAGGAACACCGGUGGCGAAGGCGGCCUGCUGGACUGCAACUGACGUUGAGGCCCGAAAGCGUGGGGAGCAAACAGGAUUAGAUACCCCAGUA
Molecule: ribosomal RNA, 444 nt
Filed under: uncultured bacterium
Lineage: Bacteria
Description: bacterial SSU rRNA
Rfam family: Bacterial small subunit ribosomal RNA
Source: RNAcentral